GACGUAGGGCGCGAGCGUUGUCCGGAUUUAUUGGGCGUAAAGAGCUCGUAGGCGGCUUGUCGCGUCGACUGUGAAAACCCGCGGCUCAACCGCGGGCCUGCAGCCGAUACGGGCAGGCUAGAGUUCGGUAGGGGAGACUGGAAUUCCCGGUGUAGCGGUGAAAUGCGUAGAUAUCUGGAGGAACACCGGUGGCGAAGGCGGCAUCCUGGACCGGCAUUGACGCUGAGGCGCGAAAGCCAGGGGAGCAAACGGG
This 253-nucleotide ribosomal RNA is filed under the name uncultured bacterium. RNAcentral describes it as "partial 16S ribosomal RNA". It matches the Rfam family "Bacterial small subunit ribosomal RNA", at positions 524 to 776 of the family's 1533-position model. The record is from RNAcentral.